UACGAAAGGUGCGAGCGUUAAUCGGAAUUACUGGGCGUAAAGCGUGCGUAGGCGGCUAUUUAAGUCGGAUGUGAAAGCCCCGGGCUCAACCUGGGAGGUGCAUCGGAUACUGGGUAGCUAGAGUGUAGUAGAGGGAGGUGGAAUUUCCGGUGUAGCGGUGAAAUGCGUAGAUAUGUGGAGGAAUACCGAUGGCGAAGGCAGCCCCCUGGGUCGAUACUGACACUCAUGCACGAAAGCGUGGGGAGCAAACGGG
Molecule: ribosomal RNA, 253 nt
Filed under: uncultured bacterium
Lineage: Bacteria
Description: partial 16S ribosomal RNA
Rfam family: Bacterial small subunit ribosomal RNA
Source: RNAcentral